GAUUUAUGGAAGAACCUGGAUUA
This 23-nucleotide non-coding RNA is filed under the name Cricetulus griseus (Chinese hamster). Lineage: Eukaryota; Metazoa; Chordata; Mammalia; Rodentia; Cricetidae. The record is from RNAcentral.